GAUGAACGCUGACAGAAUGCUUAACACAUGCAAGUCGAUGGGACAGUGGUGCUUGCACCUUGUUAACCAUUGCGGACGGAUGGGUAACGCGUACGUAACUUGCCUGCCGGACUGGGAUAGCAGCCUGAAGCUGCUGAUAAUACCUAAUGGGUUCCUUAAGCUACCUAACUUAGUGAUGAAAGGAGACGCCUUCGGAGUGCCUUGCGUCCUAUUAGCUAGUUGGAAGGGUAACGGCCCAACAAGGCGAAGAUAGGUAGCCGGCCUGAGAGGGGGGACGGCCACAAGGGGAAUGAGAUACGGCACUUACGAAUAUGGGAGGCAGCAGUGGGGAAUAAUGGACAAUGGGGGCAACAGUGAUCAAGCAAUUCUGUGUGUACGAAGAUGGUUUUAGGAUAGAAAAGUGGUGUCAGCAGCGAAGAAGGAAGUGACGGUACCUGAAGAAGAAGCGACGGCUAAAUACGUG
RNAcentral lists this ribosomal RNA (463 nucleotides) under uncultured bacterium. RNAcentral's name for it is "partial 16S ribosomal RNA". It matches the Rfam family "Bacterial small subunit ribosomal RNA", at positions 28 to 507 of the family's 1533-position model. The record is from RNAcentral.